AGGAUGAGAAUUCUAAGGCGCUUGAGAGAACUCGGGAGAAGGAACUCGGCAAAUUGAUACCGUAACUUCGGGAGAAGGUAUGCCCUCUAAGGUUAAGGACUUGCUCCGUAAGCCCCGGAGGGUCGCAGAGAAUAGGUGGCUGCGACUGUUUAUUAAAAACACAGCACUCUGCCAACACGAAAGUGGACGUAUAGGGUGUGACGCCUGCCCGGUGCCGGAAGGUUAAUUGAAGAUGUGCAAGCAUCGGAUCGAAGCCCCGGUAAACGGCGGCCGUAACUAUAACGGUCCUAAGGUAGCGAAAUUCCUUGUCGGGUAAGUUCCGACCCGCACGAAUGGCGUAACGAUGGCCACACUGUCUCCUCCCGAGACUCAGCGAAGUUGAAGUGGUUGUGAAGAUGCAAUCUACCCGCUGCUAGACGGAAAGACCCCGUGAACCUUUACUGUAGCUUUGCAUUGGACUUUGAAGUCACUUGUGUAGGAUAGGUGGGAGGCUUGGAAGCAGAGACGCCAGUCUCUGUGGAGUCGUCCUUGAAAUACCACCCUGGUGUCUUUGAGGUUCUAACCCAGACCCGUCAUCCGGGUCGGGGACCGUGCAUGGUAGGCAGUUUGACUGGGGCGGUCUCCUCCCAAAGCGUAACGGAGGAGUUCGAAGGUUACCUAGGUCCGGUCGGAAAUCGGACUGAUAGUGCAAUGGCAAAAGGUAGCUUAACUGCGAGACCGACAAGUCGGGCAGGUGCGAAAGCAGGACAUAGUGAUCCGGUGGUUCUGUAUGGAAGGGCCAUCGCUCAACGGAUAAAAGGUACUCCGGGGAUAACAGGCUGAUUCCGCCCAAGAGUUCAUAUCGACGGCGGAGUUUGGCACCUCGAUGUCGGCUCAUCACAUCCUGGGGCUGUAGUCGGUCCCAAGGGUAUGGCUGUUCGCCAUUUAAAGUGGUACGUGAGCUGGGUUUAAAACGUCGUGAGACAGUUUGGUCCCUAUCUGCAGUGGGCGUUGGAAGUUUGACGGGGGCUGCUCCUAGUACGAGAGGACCGGAGUGGACGAACCUCUGGUGUACCGGUUGUAACGCCAGUUGCAUAGCCGGGUAGCUAAGUUCGGAAGAGAUAAGCGCUGAAAGCAUCUAAGCGCGAAACUCGCCUGAAGAUGAGACUUCCCUUGCGGUUUAACCGCACUAAAGGGUCGUUCGAGACCAGGACGUUGAUAGGUGGGGUGUGGAAGCGCGGUAACGCGUGAAGCUAACCCAUACUAAUUGCCCGUGAGGCUUGACUCU
Molecule: ribosomal RNA, 1267 nt
Filed under: Neisseria gonorrhoeae MS11
Lineage: Bacteria; Pseudomonadati; Pseudomonadota; Betaproteobacteria; Neisseriales; Neisseriaceae
Description: bacterial LSU rRNA
Rfam family: Bacterial large subunit ribosomal RNA
Source: RNAcentral